CGUAGCCGCCAGGGGUAUCCCUCAUCCGAGGCCGAGCGUCUCGUAGGGAUUGAGAGCAGACCCUUGGAACCUGAUCCGGUUGAAACCGGCGAAGGGAGAGCGGGAUGUCAGCCUU
Molecule: non-coding RNA, 115 nt
Filed under: Acidobacteriota bacterium
Lineage: Bacteria; Pseudomonadati; Acidobacteriota
Description: Acidobacteria bacterium TPP sequence
Rfam family: TPP riboswitch aptamer (THI element)
About the family: Vitamin B(1) in its active form thiamin pyrophosphate (TPP) is an essential coenzyme that is synthesised by coupling of pyrimidine and thiazole moieties in bacteria. The previously detected thiamin-regulatory element, thi box was extended, resulting in a new, highly conserved RNA secondary structure, the THI element, which is widely distributed in eubacteria and also occurs in some archaea. Analysis of operon structures identified a large number of new candidate thiamin-regulated genes, mostly transporters, in various prokaryotic organisms.
Source: RNAcentral